GAGGCUGUUUUUCAGUGUCCAGGGACUGAGAUUGGUUCAGAAUAUAUGAGUGAUAUUGAGUCUCCAUUGCAUUGUCAGACAAGGGCUUCUGUAUACCGAAUCCGUGAGCCUAGCUUGUUAGAUUCUUUUCCCAUGCAUGAUAGACUACCUAAGACUCUUCCUGCUGUGGAAGUGCUCUCUCUUCCUGCUUCUGAACCCAAAUCCCAUAGCUUGUUAGAUUCUUUUCCCAUGCAUGAUAGACUACCUAAGGCUCUUCCUGCUGUGGAAGUGCUCUCUCUUCCUGCUUCUGAACCCAAAUCUCUUUCACAGCCUGUUGGCAGGUUACCUGGACCUCAUCACCUUGGCCAAGGCAAACCACUGCUUGCAUUGCCCCUUUCUGAGGGGACUUUGAGU
RNAcentral lists this long non-coding RNA (393 nucleotides) under Vitis vinifera (wine grape). RNAcentral's name for it is "long non-coding RNA (VVIN_LNC005867)". Lineage: Eukaryota; Viridiplantae; Streptophyta; Magnoliopsida; Vitales; Vitaceae. The record is from RNAcentral.